AGAUUGAACGCUGGCGGCAUGCCUAACACAUGCAAGUCGAACGGGAGUAGCAAUACUCUAGUGGCGGACGGGUGAGGAAUACGUAGGAAUUUGCCCUUAAGUGGGGGAUAACCCGGGGAAACCCGGAUUAAUACCGCAUGACCUCGAAAGAGCAAAGUGGGGGAUCGCAAGACCUCACGCUUUUGGAGAAGCCUACGUCGGAUUAGCUAGUUGGUGAGGUAAUGGCUCACCAAGGCGACGAUCCGUAACUGGUCUGAGAGGAUGAUCAGUCACACCGGACUGAGACACGGUCCGGACUCCGUACGGGAGCAGCAGUGGGGAAUA
Molecule: ribosomal RNA, 324 nt
Filed under: uncultured soil bacterium
Lineage: Bacteria
Description: bacterial SSU rRNA
Rfam family: Bacterial small subunit ribosomal RNA
Source: RNAcentral